Molecule: ribosomal RNA, 203 nt
Filed under: Helotiales sp.
Lineage: Eukaryota; Fungi; Ascomycota; Leotiomycetes; Helotiales
Description: partial large subunit ribosomal RNA
Source: RNAcentral
AAGCGCUUGCAAUCAGACUUGCACUUGGUGUUCAUCAGGGUCUCGUACCCUGUGUACUUCAUCAAGUUCAGGCCAGCAUCAGUUUGAGUGGUUAGAUAAAGGCUUUGGGAAUGUGGCUCCUCCGGGAGUGUUAUAGCCCAUUGCAUAAUACCCUGGGGCGGACUGAGGUUCGCGCAUUCGUGCAAGGAUGCUGGCGUAAUGGU